RNAcentral lists this ribosomal RNA (253 nucleotides) under uncultured bacterium. RNAcentral's name for it is "partial 16S ribosomal RNA". It matches the Rfam family "Bacterial small subunit ribosomal RNA", at positions 524 to 776 of the family's 1533-position model. The record is from RNAcentral.
UACAGAGGGGGCAAGCGUUGUUCGGAAUUACUGGGCGUAAAGGGCGCGUAGGCGGCCUGCUAAGUCGAACGUGAAAUCCCCGAGCUCAACUCGGGAACUGCGUCCGAUACUGACAGGCUUGAAUCCGGGAGAGGGAUGCGGAAUUCCAGGUGUAGCGGUGAAAUGCGUAGAUAUCGGGAGGAAUACCAGUGGCGAAGGCGGCCUUCUGGACGGAUACUGACGCUGAGGCGCGAAAGCUAGGGGAGCAAACGGG